Oncorhynchus gorbuscha (pink salmon) is the source of this 561-nucleotide long non-coding RNA. RefSeq lists it as uncharacterized. The transcript has 3 exons. The record is from RefSeq and is a predicted model, not a curated record. Lineage: Eukaryota; Metazoa; Chordata; Actinopteri; Salmoniformes; Salmonidae.
GUUCCCGACGUUCUCCAAAAAGAGCCGCUCGUUCGCUAACGACCAAUUACUAUCAUUCAGUAACAACAUGGUGAUGAAAACAGGCUAGAUAGCUCUCUAAAUUUGUUAACCAUGACAAAGACAUGUUGGACAUUCAUUAAACGCUUCAGUGAGCUUAAAGAAUUGCAGAGUGAACAUGGCUUCACCCCAGGCCCUCAGCCUUUCUUGCCAGAUGCUCUUUUGCUAGAUGCCCACCUGAGAAGACGUCACAUGCUUAUCUUAAGAAAUACGGAUGGCUUGCUGAUGCUGUACUCAUGUACGGCUGUGUCUGGUAUGAAUCAGUUGAGCCCACUGAGGGAGCUGAAAGUGGAAAAGGCUGUUACGGUUAGGCGUUGGCCAUAGUGCCAAAGUCUGAGCCCGAUCGGACUAAAUCUCUUGUGUCCCCAAACCACAACCAACCGUGAUGGAAUCAUUGCUCUGCUACACCAGCCGGUGCAAAGAAUCCCCACAAGAAUCUGUCGGACUCUGGAGAGAAGCACUACAUGUUAUUCAGUCUCCCUGUAAAUAGUACACUUAUUUUAA